AGUGAACGCUGGCGGUAGGCCUAACACAUGCAAGUCGAACGGCAGCACAGUAAGAGCUUGCUCUUACGGGUGGCGAGUGGCGGACGGGUGAGGAAUACAUCGGAAUCUACUUUUUCGUGGGGGAUAACGUAGGGAAACUUACGCUAAUACCGCAUACGACCUACGGGUGAAAGCAGGGGAUCUUCGGACCUUGCGCGAUUGAAUGAGCCGAUGUCGGAUUAGCUAGUUGGCGGGGUAAAGGCCCACCAAGGCGACGAUCCGUAGCUGGUCUGAGAGGAUGAACAGCCACACUGGAACUGAGACACGGUCCAGACUCCUACGGGAGGCAGCAGUGGGGAAUAUAGGACAAUGGGCGCAAGCCUGAUCCAGCCAUACCGCGUGGGUGAAGAAGGCCUUCGGGUUGUAAAGCCCUUUUGUUGGGAAAGAAAAGCAGCAGGUUAAUACCCCGCUGUUCUGACGGUACCCAAAGAAUAAGCACCGGCUAACUUCGUG
This 492-nucleotide ribosomal RNA is filed under the name uncultured bacterium. RNAcentral describes it as "partial 16S ribosomal RNA". It matches the Rfam family "Bacterial small subunit ribosomal RNA", at positions 29 to 507 of the family's 1533-position model. The record is from RNAcentral.